This 63-nucleotide transfer RNA is filed under the name Lachesilla punctata. RNAcentral describes it as "tRNA-Glu". The record is from RNAcentral. Lineage: Eukaryota; Metazoa; Arthropoda; Insecta; Psocodea; Lachesillidae.
GUUUAUAUAGUUUACUAAAAAUUUUACAUUUUCAUUGUAAAGACAAAAUUAUUUUUAUAAAUA